Long non-coding RNA from Osmia bicornis bicornis, 932 nucleotides. RefSeq lists it as uncharacterized. The record is from RefSeq and is a predicted model, not a curated record. The transcript has 3 exons. Lineage: Eukaryota; Metazoa; Arthropoda; Insecta; Hymenoptera; Megachilidae.
AAAAAGUGGAAGUGUCUUUUUCUUUAAGCGUUUUUAUUAUCUUUUUUUUAAGAUCAUGUUAUGUUUUAGUUUGUUGUCAUGUACGAAAUCGUGGUCAAAUUUAUGCAAUGUACUGAUGUUCUAUUAGAUGGUGAUUUAUAAAAUUGAAUUAGUUAUUAGUUAAAUAUUUGUUCGUCAUUUUACUUUGACUUUUUUUAGUGAAAGUUGUAAAACAAUCAUUAGUGUCGGUCAGUGGUAUUUGAAUAUCGUUUCGAUCAUCUGUUACCGGCGCCACCAUGCAGGCUUACCUAAAAUUUAUUUAUUAUUUAAGUUUCCGCUGCUUUUCGAUAGAAAGCGCUAGUGCUUCCGCGUUUAUAUUAAAAUUGAAUGAUUUGUGUUUAAAUUAUAAUAAUAUAUUUGAAAUUGAUAAUAUAAAGGUUGAUGCGUGUUUUUGGUUUGAGGAUUUUGGGAGGAAUGAAUGUUCAUAAAAGCAAUUCCAAUUUGUUUUAAACAUGACAAAUGAACAGAUAAAUAUGGUUCGAAAAAGGUGGCGGUGAGAAUAAUCUUGACAGCGUAAUCUUCCUUAUCGACAUCGACGUCGGCCGCCACAUCUUUUGCUGUUGUUGUUGAGCCAGUUUAAGCUGGGUGGACGUUUCGCUUUGAGGUCCAUCGUUGUUCCCUUUUCUGAGAGGGGUUGGGGGUCUGUCGCCGGCCUCGAAGUUCCUCUUGGGGUUGUCCGCUUCUUGGGGUUCUUUCCGUCGCCUCCAUCGGCCCGAUACCGGCGGGCAGGGAAAAAGGAGUAAGAUAUUUGCAGGAUAUUGAAAGGAAUCCAUGACACCUGAUAUGGAUUUGAAAUAGAAUUUGAUGAAUUUUUUGAUUUUGCCGAGUUCCUAGACAUCCUGAUGUCUUCUCUCUGUUAUAUUUUUUUCAGAAACUAUGCCUUUGAGAUUCUG